AGAGUUUGAUCAUGGCUCAGGAUNNNNNNUGGCGGUGUGGAUAAGGCAUGCAAGUCGAACGGACCAGUCUUCUGAAGUUGAGGGAAGUCAAUGUAGCAAUACUGAGAUGGAACGAGAUGAAUGGAGUUUACUGGUUAGUGGCGAACGAGGUAGUAAUAUAUAGGAACUUCCCCCAAAGUCGCGAAUAAUCCAUCGAAAGGUGGACUAAUACGCGAUGGUCCCGCAAGGGUAAAGAUUUAUCGCUUUGGGAAAGGCCUGUACAGUAUCAGCUAGUUGGUGAGGUAAAAGCUCACCAAGGCUAUGACGCUUAGGGGACCUGAGAGGGUGACCCCCACCGAUGGGACUGAGACACGGCCCAUACACCUACGGGUGGCUGCAGUCGAGAAUCUUCCGCAAUGGACGAAAGUCUGACGGAGCGACACCGCGUGAUUGAUGAAGUCCCUCUGGGACGUAAAGAUCUUUUAUGAGGGAAGAAGUUUAUUGACGGUACCUCAUGAAUAAGGGGCUCCCAAUCUCGUGCCAGCAGGAGCGGUAAUACGAGAGCCUCAAGCGUUAUCCGGAAUUAUUGGGCGUAAAGGAUGUGUAGGUGGUUGUGUUAGUCGUGUGUUAAAGACCCGGGCUCAACUCGGGGAUCGCGCAGGAAACGGCACAACUAGAGAGUGUGAGGGGUUUGCGGAACUCAUGGUGUAGGGGUGAAAUCCGUUGAUAUCAUGGGGAACACCAAAAGCGAAGGCAGCAAACUGGCGCACAUCUGACACUGAAACAUGAAAGCGUGGGUAGCGAAUGGGAUUAGAUACCCUAGUAGUCC
RNAcentral lists this ribosomal RNA (808 nucleotides) under uncultured bacterium. RNAcentral's name for it is "bacterial SSU rRNA". It matches the Rfam family "Bacterial small subunit ribosomal RNA", at positions 8 to 796 of the family's 1533-position model. The record is from RNAcentral.